This 738-nucleotide long non-coding RNA is filed under the name Homo sapiens (human). RNAcentral describes it as "HSALNT0266882". Lineage: Eukaryota; Metazoa; Chordata; Mammalia; Primates; Hominidae. The record is from RNAcentral.
CUCUUCUCUGGCACCGGAGUGAGUGAUUUUUUCCUGAGCUCAGCCCCACACCCUGUCACAGCACAGCACAUUUAGCAGGUGCUCGGCCAACCUUUAAGUUCAAAUUCACAGCUCAGGCAUCACAAGGCCCAACUCCCCUGUCUUACAGAUGGGCAAACUGAGGCCCCAGAAGGGGAAGGGACAGGAACCAGGUCACCCGCAAGUCUAUGGUGAAGGUGGAGUGAAGCCAAGAAACCCGAUUCCCAAAUGCCUCCCAACUCACUCCAUCUCUAGCUGCCUUUAUUUUUUUCCAGGAAAAAACAGCUGUCAGAGGCAGCCACCCUGUUACCGAUUAAACAAGGCAAAUUCUAUCGGAACAGAAUCGGAGGCACUCCGGACACCUAAUUACACAGUCUGGAAGAGAAACACAGGCAGGGAAAUAGAAAUAUGAACAAACAGCACCGCCAGACAACGGGGCGCCCUCCCCACCACCAGAGCUGCCACCCCUCCCCCUCAAGCCUCUGCGACAAGAUGUGUCUCCCAGUCCUCAAAUAAGAUCCCCGCUCCCCAGGUGGAGGCUCACACACAGACCUCCCCUCUUCCCCACAGCACUGAUCCAGGGCUCCCAGAGAUGAAUGGGGAGGCGUGGAAGUCAUUUCAGGUGUCAUUUCAGGUUGACAGCCAGGGCAGCCCAGCUGGGGCCCAGCGAGAUUGGGCAGAGCUGGGCUUGAGCCCACACCUGCUGACCCUGGAGACGGG